RNAcentral lists this ribosomal RNA (1070 nucleotides) under Draculoides warramboo. Its description in RNAcentral is "partial large subunit ribosomal RNA". It matches the Rfam family "Eukaryotic large subunit ribosomal RNA", at positions 80 to 877 of the family's 3401-position model. Lineage: Eukaryota; Metazoa; Arthropoda; Arachnida; Schizomida; Hubbardiidae. The record is from RNAcentral.
UUAGUAGCGGCGAGCGAACAGGGAAGAGCCCAGCGCCGAAUUCCGCGUCUCAAAGGGCGUUUGGAACAUGUGGCGUUUAGGAGGAAUCUCUCCGAGGGCAGACGGUGUCGCAAGUCCCCCUGAACGGGGCUGUGAUCCAGAGCGGGUGCGAGGCCCAUAGCUGGUACCGUCUCCUUUGGGUGUCCCCUCCUUGGAGUCGGGUUGCUUGGGAGUGCAGCCCUAAUUGGGUGGUAAACUCCACCUAAGGCUAAAUACGUCCGUGAGACCGAUAGCAAACAAGUACCGUGAGGGAAAGUUGCAAAGAACUUUGAAGAGAGAGUUCAAGAGUACGUGAAACCGCUCAGAGGCAAACGGGUGGGCCCACGAAAGCCGAAGGCGGGGGGAUUCAGUCGAGAGGACGGUGGGGCAGGACUGGCUGGUUGGACGGACCGUGCCAGGCCGGGUCAGUUCCCGAGAUCUGCCGCCUUUCGACGCAUUUCCCCCUGCUUAGUAGGACGCCGCAACCGGUUGGCGCUGCAGCCAUAAGGGAGAGUAAAUGGAAGGUAGCCAGUGAGUUCUUCUUCGGAGGCGCGAGCUGGUCCUAAGCCGACUCUCCUGGUGCUUGUGGCCCGACCGUGGUCGUGAGUCCCUCAACGGGAUGUCGCCGAGCCCUCUGACUGGAGCAGGAGAAGUGGCAGGCUGCUUUCCGCGGAAAAAAUCGAUCGCUUCACGCGUGCAGUGGGCGAUCUCCGGAGGUAGCUGCUGGUGCGUUUUUCUCCUGCGCUGGGCACAGGCAGUUGGCGGCGAGUAGGUCGGUCACCCACCCGACCCGUCUUGAAACACGGACCAAGGAGUCUAACAUGUGCGCGAGUCAUUGGGUCUUGAACAAGCCCAAAGGCGCAAUGAAAGUGAAGACCAGCACUGAAGCUGGUGGAGUUGGGAAACUGUGUCACUGAAGAUGCAGUUGCACCAACGGCCCGUCCCGUCCGCAUUGUCGGUGGGGCGGAGCGAGAGCGUACACGUUGGGACCCGAAAGAUGGUGAACUAUGCCUGGGCAGGACGAAGCCAGAGGAAACUCUGGUGGAGGUCCG